AUUGAACGCUGGCGGAAUGCUUUACACAUGCAAGUCGAACGGCAGCACGGACUUCGGUCUGGUGGCGAGUGGCGAACGGGUGAGUAAUGUAUCGGAACGUGCCCAGUCGUGGGGGAUAACGUAGUGAAAAUUACGCUAAUACCGCAUACGAUCUAUGGAUGAAAGCGGGGGAUCGCAAGAACUCGCGCGAUUGGAGCGGCCGAUAUCAGAUUAGGUAGUUGGUGGGGUAAAGGCCCACCAAGCCAACGAUCUGUAGCUGGUCUGAGAGGACGACCCGCCACACUGGAACUGAGACACGGUCAAGACUCCUACGGGAGGCAGCAGUUGGGAAUUUUGGACAAUGGGCGACAGCCCGUUCCGGCCAUUCCGCGUGCAUGAUGAAGGCCCUCGGGUUGUAAACUGCUUUUGUACAGAACGAAAAGGUUUCUACUAAUACUAGGAGCUCAUGACGGUACUGUAAGAAUAAGCACCGGCUAACUACGUGCCAGCCGCCGCGGUAA
Molecule: ribosomal RNA, 500 nt
Filed under: uncultured bacterium
Lineage: Bacteria
Description: partial 16S ribosomal RNA
Rfam family: Bacterial small subunit ribosomal RNA
Source: RNAcentral